Molecule: transfer RNA, 74 nt
Filed under: Deinococcus sp.
Lineage: Bacteria; Thermotogati; Deinococcota; Deinococci; Deinococcales; Deinococcaceae
Description: tRNA-Ile
Rfam family: tRNA
About the family: Transfer RNA (tRNA) molecules are approximately 80 nucleotides in length. Their secondary structure includes four short double-helical elements and three loops (D, anti-codon, and T loops).
Source: RNAcentral
GGGCCGCUAGCUCAGGUGGUCAGAGCGCGUCCCUGAUAAGGACGAGGUCCAUGGUUCGAGUCCAUGGCGGCCCA